GAUGAACGCUGGCGGCGUGCCUAAUACAUGCAAGUCGAGCGAACAGACGAGGAGCUUGCUCCUCUGACGUUAGCGGCGGACGGGUGAGUAACACGUGGAUAACCUACCUAUAAGACUGGGAUAACUUCGGGAAACCGGAGCUAAUACCGGAUAAUAUAUUGAACCGCAUGGUUCAAUAGUGAAAGACGGUUUUGCUGUCACUUAUAGAUGGAUCCGCGCCGCAUUAGCUAGUUGGUAAGGUAACGGCUUACCAAGGCAACGAUGCGUAGCCGACCUGAGAGGGUGAUCGGCCACACUGGAACUGAGAAACGGUCCAGACUCCUACGGGAGGCAGCAGUAGGAAAUCUUCCGCAAUGGGCGAAAGCCUGACGGAGCAACGCCGCGUGAGUGAUGAAGGUCUUCGGAUCGUAAAACUCUGUUAUUAGGGAAGAACAAAUGUGUAAGUAACUAUGCACGUCUUGACGGUACCUAAUCAGAAAGCCACGGCUAACUACGUG
RNAcentral lists this ribosomal RNA (497 nucleotides) under uncultured bacterium. RNAcentral's name for it is "partial 16S ribosomal RNA". It matches the Rfam family "Bacterial small subunit ribosomal RNA", at positions 28 to 507 of the family's 1533-position model. The record is from RNAcentral.